Molecule: ribosomal RNA, 465 nt
Filed under: Vreelandella stevensii
Lineage: Bacteria; Pseudomonadati; Pseudomonadota; Gammaproteobacteria; Oceanospirillales; Halomonadaceae
Description: partial 16S ribosomal RNA
Rfam family: Bacterial small subunit ribosomal RNA
Source: RNAcentral
CCUACGGGGGGCUGCAGUGGGGAAUAUUGGACAAUGGGGGGAACCCUGAUCCAGCCAUGCCGCGUGUGUGAAGAAGGCCCUCGGGUUGUAAAGCACUUUCAGUGAGGAAGAACGCCUGGUGGUUAAUACCCAUCAGGAAAGACAUCACUCACAGAAGAAGCACCGGCUAACUCCGUGCCAGCAGCCGCGGCAAUACGGAGGGUGCGAGCGUUAAUCGGAAUUACUGGGCGUAAAGCGCGCGUAGGUGGCUUGAUAAGCCGGUUGUGAAAGCCCCGGGCUCAACCUGGGAACGGCAUCCGGAACUGUCAAGCUAGAGUGCAGGAGAGGAAGGUAGAAUUCCCGGUGUAGCGGUGAAAUGCGUAGAGAUCGGGAGGAAUACCAGUGGCGAAGGCGGCCUUCUGGACUGACACUGACACUGAGGUGCGAAAGCGUGGGUAGCAAACAGGAUUAGAUACCCUGGUAGUC